RNAcentral lists this transfer RNA (88 nucleotides) under Anaerolineales bacterium. RNAcentral describes it as "tRNA-Ser". It matches the Rfam family "tRNA". From Rfam's summary of the family: Transfer RNA (tRNA) molecules are approximately 80 nucleotides in length. Their secondary structure includes four short double-helical elements and three loops (D, anti-codon, and T loops). Lineage: Bacteria; Bacillati; Chloroflexota; Anaerolineae; Anaerolineales. The record is from RNAcentral.
GGAGAGGUGCCAGAGUGGACGAAUGGGGCAGUCUCGAAAACUGUUGUGGUCCUUGGGGCCACCGAGGGUUCGAAUCCCUCCCUCUCCG